RNAcentral lists this small RNA (298 nucleotides) under Nomascus leucogenys (northern white-cheeked gibbon). RNAcentral's name for it is "7SK RNA (ENSNLEG00000034134.1)". Lineage: Eukaryota; Metazoa; Chordata; Mammalia; Primates; Hylobatidae. The record is from RNAcentral.
AUAUGUGAAGGUGAUAUGGCUGUGACUUCUAUCACCUUGUUGAACCUCAUGUUUGGUCUGAAAGUCUGAUUGGCUAAAGUGAAGGUUUCAUCUUUUCUCAGUCUUCUGUAAAUCCUCCUCCCCAAAGGUAGGGUCUUGGGUGGAUAAUCCCAGCAUGCAGAAAGUCACUCCCAGGCAGGAAUAUACAGAAGAUUGUGCUCCUCUGAAAAGCCACCAAAGAAAACAGACAAGGAAAGAAUGUGAAGGAAAAUAAAAGGUUGAUUCUGUGAUUUCCUACUAUGGAAGUGUGGGAAAAAGU